Rhineura floridana is the source of this 467-nucleotide long non-coding RNA. RefSeq lists it as uncharacterized. The record is from RefSeq and is a predicted model, not a curated record. The transcript is spliced from 4 exons. NCBI's taxonomy places the organism in Eukaryota, Metazoa, Chordata, Lepidosauria, Squamata, Rhineuridae.
AGAAUCCUGCAGGAUCAGCCAAAGGCCCAUCUCAUCCAGUCUCUUGUUCAUACAGCAGCCAACCAGAUGCCCAUAGGAACAGCACUCUCCCCACUUGUGACUCCCAGCAACUGGUAUUCAGAGAACAUAGCCAUGGCGUGGGUAAGGUCCCAGGAGUGGCGGUAUGGUCAGAGAUCCGAUCCAUCCUAGACACAUCCUCUAGGUCCUCGGCUAAUUUCUCCUCAACAGUUCCUUCCUUGAUGCCGAUGGGAUUAGGAGGGGUAUCAUUUAGUAUAGGGGGGAGGUUUAUUCCGAACCAGACUCAUCAAACACACUAGAAGUGGGAAUGUCCUGACUGAAGCAAAAUCAUCGCAUAUAUUGUUACUGCAAAGAGAAAUAGAGCUGAAUGUCAUCAGCAUACCGAAGGCCCUGCAUGCCAAGUUCCAGAUGACCUCUCCCAAUGGCUUCAUAUAGCUGUUUAAAAAGCA